RNAcentral lists this ribosomal RNA (22 nucleotides) under Cephalothrix komarekiana SAG 75.79. Its description in RNAcentral is "partial 23S ribosomal RNA". The record is from RNAcentral. Lineage: Bacteria; Bacillati; Cyanobacteriota; Cyanophyceae; Aerosakkonematales; Aerosakkonemataceae.
GGUCAAGCUAAUCAAAGCUGAC